Molecule: ribosomal RNA, 425 nt
Filed under: Kryptoperidinium foliaceum
Lineage: Eukaryota; Dinophyceae; Peridiniales; Kryptoperidiniaceae
Description: partial Bacterial small subunit ribosomal RNA
Rfam family: Bacterial small subunit ribosomal RNA
Source: RNAcentral
UUGGACAAUGGGCGCAAGCCUGAUCCAGCCAUGCCGCGUGCGGGAAGAAGGCCUUCGGGUUGUAAACCGCUUUUGUCAGGGAAGAAAAGGUUCUGGCUAAUACCUGGGACUCAUGACGGUACCUGAAGAAUAAGCACCGGCUAACUACGUGCCAGCAGCCGCGGUAAUACGUAGGGUGCAAGCGUUAAUCGGAAUUACUGGGCGUAAAGCGCGCGUAGGUGGUUUGAUAAGCGAGAUGUGAAAGCCCCGGGCUCAACCUGGGAACGGCAUUUCGAACUGUCAGGCUAGAGUAUGGUAGAGGAGUGUGGAAUUUCCUGUGUAGCGGUGAAAUGCGUAGAUAUAGGAAGGAACACCAGUGGCGAAGGCGGCACUCUGGACCAAUACUGACACUGAGGUGCGAAAGCGUGGGGAGCAAACAGGAUUAG